AACGAACGCUGGCGGCAGGCUUAACACAUGCAAGUCGAACGCAUCCUUCGGGGUGAGUGGCAGACGGGUGAGUAACGCGUGGGAACGUGCCCUUCAGUUCGGGAUAACCCAGGGAAACUUGGGCUAAUACCGGAUACGUGCGAGAGCAGAAAGAUUUAUCGCUGAAGGAUCGGCCCGCGUCUGAUUAGCUAGUUGGUGGGGUAAUGGCCCACCAAGGCGACGAUCAGUAGCUGGUCUGAGAGGCUGAUCAGCCACAGUGGGACUGUGACACGGCCCAAACUCCUACGGGCGGCAGCAGUGGGGAAUAUUGGACAAUGGGCGCAAGCCUGAUCCAGCCAUGCCGCGUGAGUGAUGAAGGCCUUAGGGUUGUAAAGCUCUUUCGUCCGGGACGAUAAUGACGGUACCGGAAGAAGAAGCCCCGGCUAACUUCGUGCCAGCAGCCGCAGUAA
RNAcentral lists this ribosomal RNA (449 nucleotides) under uncultured bacterium. RNAcentral describes it as "partial 16S ribosomal RNA". It matches the Rfam family "Bacterial small subunit ribosomal RNA", at positions 29 to 523 of the family's 1533-position model. The record is from RNAcentral.